UGUGUGUUAGUGGAAGCGUCUGGAAAGGCGCGCGAUACAGGGUGACAGCCCCGUACACAAAAAUGCACAUGCUGUGAGCUCGAUGAGUAGGGCGGGACACGUGGUAUCCUGUCUGAAUAUGGGGGGACCAUCCUCCAAGGCUAAAUACUCCUGACUGACCGAUAGUGAACCAGUACCGUGAGGGAAAGGCGAAAAGAACCCCGGCGAGGGGAGUGAAAAAGAACCUGAAACCGUGUACGUACAAGCAGUGGGAGCACAGAGCAAUCUGUGUGACUGCGUACCUUUUGUAUAAUGGGUCAGCGACUUAUAUUCUGUAGCAAGGUUAACCGAAUAGGGGAGCCGAAGGGAAACCGAGUCUUAACUGGGCGUUAAGUUGCAGGGUAUAGACCCGAAACCCGGUGAUCUAGCCAUGGGCAGGUUGAAGGUUGGGUAACACUAACUGGAGGACCGAACCGACUAAUGUUGAAAAAUUAGCGGAUGACUUGUGGCUGGGGGUGAAAGGCCAAUCAAACCGGGAGAUAGCUGGUUCUCCCCGAAAGCUAUUUAGGUAGCGCCUCGUGAAUUCAUCUCCGGGGGUAGAGCACUGUUUCGGCAAGGGGGUCA
Molecule: ribosomal RNA, 603 nt
Filed under: Escherichia coli
Lineage: Bacteria; Pseudomonadati; Pseudomonadota; Gammaproteobacteria; Enterobacterales; Enterobacteriaceae
Description: partial 23S ribosomal RNA
Rfam family: Bacterial large subunit ribosomal RNA
Source: RNAcentral